This 253-nucleotide ribosomal RNA is filed under the name uncultured bacterium. Its description in RNAcentral is "partial 16S ribosomal RNA". It matches the Rfam family "Bacterial small subunit ribosomal RNA", at positions 524 to 776 of the family's 1533-position model. The record is from RNAcentral.
UACGUAGGUGGCAAGCGUUGUCCGGAAUUAUUGGGCGUAAAGCGCGCGCAGGCGGUCCUUUAAGUCUGAUGUGAAAGCCCACGGCUCAACCGUGGAGGGUCAUUGGAAACUGGGGGACUUGAGUACAGAAGAGAAGAGUGGAAUUCCACGUGUAGCGGUGAAAUGCGUAGAGAUGUGGAGGAACACCAGUGGCGAAGGCGGCUCACUGGCCCGUAACUGACGCUGAGGCACGAAAGCGUGGGGAGCAAACAGG